AUUGAACGCUGGCGGCAGGCUUAACACAUGCAAGUCGAGCGAGCGGCGGACGGGUGAGUAAUGUCUGGGAAACUGCCUGAUGGAGGGGGAUAACUACUGGAAACGGUAGCUAAUUCCGCAUACCAUCAGAUGUUCCCAGAUGAGAUUAGCUAGUAGGGGGGGGAAUGGCUCACCAAGGCGACGAUCCCUAGCGGGUCUGAGAGGAUGACCGGCCACCCGGGAACGGAGACCGGGUCAAGACCCCUACGGGAGGAAGCAGUGGGGAACAUUGCACAAUGGGGGCAAGCUGGAUGCAGCCAUGCCGCGUGUGUGAAGAAGGCCUUCGGGUUGUAAAGUAUUUUCAGCGAGGAGGCGUUACUCGCAGAAGAAGCACCGGCUAACUCCGUGCCAGCAGCCGCGGUAAUUC
Molecule: ribosomal RNA, 406 nt
Filed under: uncultured bacterium
Lineage: Bacteria
Description: partial 16S ribosomal RNA
Rfam family: Bacterial small subunit ribosomal RNA
Source: RNAcentral